RNAcentral lists this ribosomal RNA (406 nucleotides) under uncultured bacterium. RNAcentral's name for it is "partial 16S ribosomal RNA". It matches the Rfam family "Bacterial small subunit ribosomal RNA", at positions 30 to 526 of the family's 1533-position model. The record is from RNAcentral.
AUUGAACGCUGGCGGCAGGCCUAACACAUGCAAGUAGAACGAGUGGCGGACGGGUGAGUAAUGUCUGGGAAACUGCCUGAUGGAGGGGGAUAACUACUGGAAACGGUAGCUUAUACCGCAUACCAUCGGAUGUGCCCAGAUGGGAGUAGCUAGUAGGUGGGGUAAAGGCUCACCGAGGCGAAGAUCCCUAGAUGGUCUGAGAGGAUGAACAGCCACACGGGAACUGAGACACGGUCCAGACUCCUCCGUGAGGCAGCAGUGGGGAAUAUUGCACAAUGGGCGCAAGCCUGAUGCAGCCAUGCGGCUUGUAUGAAGAAGGCCUUCGGGUUGUAAAGUACUUUCAGCGGGAAGGCGUUACCCGCAGAAGAAGCAACGGCUAACUCCGUGCCAGCAGCCGCGGUAAUUC